This 358-nucleotide unclassified non-coding RNA is filed under the name soil metagenome. RNAcentral's name for it is "partial contains 5.8S ribosomal RNA, internal transcribed spacer 2, and large subunit ribosomal RNA". The stretch from base 1 to 120 matches the Rfam family "5.8S ribosomal RNA", at positions 35 to 154 of the family's 154-position model. The record is from RNAcentral.
GAUGAAGAACGCAGCGAAAUGCGAUAAGUAAUGUGAAUUUCAGAAUUCAGUGAAUCAUCGAAUCUUUGAACGCACAUUGCGCCCGUCAGUAUUCUGGCGGGCAUGCCUGUUCGAGCGUCAUUACGCCCCUCAAGUCCCCUGUGGACUUGGUGUUGGGGAUCGGCGAGGCUGGUUUUCCAGCACAGCCGUCCCUUAAAUUAAUUGGCGGUCUCGCCGUGGCCCUCCUCUGCGCAGUAGUAAAACACUCGCAACAGGAGCCCGGCGCGGUCCACUGCCGUAAAACCCCCCAACUUUUUAUAGUUGACCUCGAAUCAGGUAGGACUACCCGCUGAACUUAAGCAUAUCAAUAAGCGGAGGA